Molecule: ribosomal RNA, 435 nt
Filed under: uncultured Flavobacterium sp.
Lineage: Bacteria; Pseudomonadati; Bacteroidota; Flavobacteriia; Flavobacteriales; Flavobacteriaceae
Description: bacterial SSU rRNA
Rfam family: Bacterial small subunit ribosomal RNA
Source: RNAcentral
GGAAUAUUGGACAAUGGGCGCAAGCCUGAUCCAGCCAUGCCGCGUGCAGGAUGACGGUCCUAUGGAUUGUAAACUGCUUUUAUACAGGAAGAAACCCUGGUUCGUGAACCAGCUUGACGGUACUGUAAGAAUAAGGAUCGGCUAACUCCGUGCCAGCAGCCGCGGUAAUACGGAGGAUCCAAGCGUUAUCCGGAAUCAUUGGGUUUAAAGGGUCCGUAGGCGGUUUAGUAAGUCAGUGGUGAAAGCCCAUCGCUCAACGGUGGAACGGCCAUUGAUACUGCUAAACUUGAAUUAUUAGGAAGUAACUAGAAUAUGUAGUGUAGCGGUGAAAUGCUUAGAGAUUACAUGGAAUACCAAUUGCGAAGGCAGGUUACUACUAAUUGAUUGACGCUGAUGGACGAAAGCGUGGGUAGCGAACAGGAUUAGAUACCCCAG